RNAcentral lists this ribosomal RNA (288 nucleotides) under Triticum aestivum (bread wheat). RNAcentral describes it as "partial small subunit ribosomal RNA". Lineage: Eukaryota; Viridiplantae; Streptophyta; Magnoliopsida; Poales; Poaceae. The record is from RNAcentral.
AUGAGAGGGCCGGCCGCGUCCGGGGGGCGGGCAUCGGCGGCGGCCGUCUUGUUCGGAGUUCUUGUUUUGGUGUCGUUGGUCGUCGUGGUGGCGGAGAGGCCGUCCACGCCGGCGAUCCGAGGGCGGAGGAUGCUGCUGGCUGGAGACGGAGGAGAGACCAGGAUGACUCUGGAGGAUUUCCGGGCUGAUGAUCCUUUCCAGGACAGCGCGAGGAGGGUGCCCAAUGGCCCUGAUCCCAUCCACAACAGGGGCGCUGGCAAGUCCGGAAGAUCGCCGGGGCGAGAGUAG